This is a long non-coding RNA of Vulpes vulpes (red fox), 1609 nucleotides long. The record is from Ensembl. Lineage: Eukaryota; Metazoa; Chordata; Mammalia; Carnivora; Canidae.
CAAACCCAGAGAAUGCAUUCAAUCAAAUGAACCGAUCUUGUAGAAACACUGGAAUCAUUUAUGCAUUGCAGUUUCUCUUUCUUGUUUUCGCUCCUUCUUUCCUGGGAUAUUUUGAGUGGAUUGUGGCUAUUAAUCAAGAUCUCGUGCUAUUCGUGGGUUGCUUGUCGUUUUCGCUCAGGAUUAGCAUCAUUCAAGGCAAACGCAAAGCUGUUUUUUUUUCCCCUACUCUUUUCUGAAAAAUCAUUUUUGGGGGCUGCUGAAGAGAGCUAGGACCCAGGAGACACCUUCCCAAACAGCAGGGGUUGUGUGCUUUCACACAGCAGUACUGUACAAGGAAAACCCCGUCGGAUCUGUUAUUGCGGGAUACUUGUGAAAUAUCAUAGGAUUCUUUCUUAUGGCUGCAUCCCGGAUCUGGAAAUUUUACUUGGGGACCAAGAGGAUCUGAAGGGCUACAUGUAUACAGAAGAUUUGCAAGCAAGACUCCGAUUCUUGUCAUAGAGCUCUCAGACUUCCUCACUUACCGGCCUUUUUCCUUCCUCCUUUAAAAAAAAAUUUCUUCCCUCUUUUUCUGCUCUCUCCUCUCUCAGUGUCUCCUUCUCUAUCUGCCUCUUCUUUUUUCUCCUAGUCGUCUUUUCCCCCCCUGCUCUGCACCUGGAUUGUAUCUUCACCAAACAAUCGGGCACUUUGAGAACUAACUGGAGGCAGUCUUGUAGGGAAGAGCUGUAUGGAAUUAUCUGCUUUUAUGGUGAACUUGGCAUUUGUGAAUGGGUAUCUUGUUCACGAUAUUAAUUGCUAGCAAAAACAAGAAAAAGAACACAGGAGUAAAACGUGGAUUUUUCUGAAUACGCAUUGUGAUGACCAGCAAUUACCUUGCCGACUGAUAUCCAGAGGAGAAUAAUUUGGAAGACUGUUGUGGGAGCUAUGUAGGUGGCAUGAAGAGGAGUGAUGCCUAGUGGGACAGACUGCAUCAGAAGCUCUUUAAACCUCAUAUGUAUUUCUUAAUAUGUUCAGAUAUUCACCUCCUCCUGUCAAAGUUCAUUGUUUUUCUUACCACUAGAAAAAGGGUGAGCAAUGGAAGAAGAACGGGAAAGAGAAGAAUGGCAAACUUCACGUUAUUGUCUGGAUGCUCCUUAGAUCUAAAUAUUGGGAUUUCAAGAGACGCUUCAGAGAACUUUAAAACUUUCAAUAAUGUUUUAAAUACCUGGGGAAUAAAAACAAAAACCAAGAGUAAUAAUGUUGGAGGAAGAGGCAGUGGAAAGGAACAGAGAAUAGGAGCAAAAGGAAAAACAAAGGUGACUGGACAAAAAGAUUCAAGCAAUUUGCAUGGGAAAGUGGCAGUAGAGAGAUUACCUUUAUGUUCCACUCUUGAAAUUUUGCAAAGCGUUUGAACAGAAUUCUCAAAAUGAGAAGGGAAUCCCAGCAAAGCAAGAAGGGGUGAAGUGGCUGAGAAGGGCCAGUACCAGUGGUAUGUGACUCCAGGAUCUACUGAAAGAAGUUUGCAUUGCAGGUCCAUUUGUAGAUCUUGAUCUACACAUCAGAGACUCAAUAGUUAACUUUACUCACUAAGAUAAAGGUCUUAUUUAUCUGAUUUUAACAGAUGUAAUAAAAU